GGUAAUUCUUUUAAGUAUUUAAGGAGAGACAGUAUCAGUCUUAAAUGAGUUCUUCCAGGAUACUGAGAAAAAGGAGGACUUCUGUUACUGAGGCGAGCAUGACCUUGACACCAAAACUUUACAAUCCUUCCAACAAUAAAAUAGAAAUACAGAACAGUGUCAUGUGAACAUAGAUACAAAAUCUUACCUAAAAUAGUCACAAAUCAAAUUCAGCACUAUGUGAAAGAAUAAUAUAUUACAGCAAAAUUGGGUUUAUUCUAAGAAAGCAAGAGCAGUUAGCAUUUUGAAAUUGGUGCUAUUUGCCAAUUUAUAGAAAUAAAAAUCUAUGAUCAUUUCUCCAAAAGCAAAAGAAGCACUUGAUGAAUUUCAAUGCCUGUUUAUGAUAAAAGCUCUUAGCAAACUAGGAAAGAGGAAUCUUCCUUAUUGAUGAAAAAAUUAUCCUUAAAAUCUUUAAUCUUUAAUGGUGAGUUAUUGAAAGUUUCCUCCCAGAUAGGAAACAUGACAGUGAUAUUCAACAUUCUCCUAGUAAUUCCAACCACUUCUAUAAAGCCAGAAAAAGAAAAGGCAGGUUAUAGAGGGAAGGACUUUAAAUAUUAUUUGUAUAUGACAUAAUUGUGGACAUAGAAUAUUUCAAAAAGAUCAAAUUAUUGAAAUUAGCUGAUUUAGCAAGGUCACUAAAUACAAGUUCGAUAUUUUAAAAAGAAUAACUUUUUUAUGUACAACCAACAUGAAGAAAAUGAAGCUUAAAAACUAUCAUUUGUAAUAUUCUUGAAAAUAUUGGCUAUUUAAAAGUUAGAAGAACAUAAAUAGGAAGGGUAUCAUACUCAUGAUCAGAAGACAAUAUUGAAAGGUGUCAGAGAAUCUGUAUUAACAGUGAAAAUCUUGGCCAGGUGUAUUUGUGCAAAUUAAGCUGUUCUGUAAUUUAUAUGGAAAUGUAAAGGCAAAAGAUAGUUAAGACAACGUUGACGAAUGAGGCUCUGGUGUUAAAUACCAGACAGUUGUAAUCAAUUAAAAAGCUGAUUAAAACAAUGUGAUAUUGGUCAAAGGAUAUAUAUACAAAGGAAUAGGUCAAAAUCAAAAGCUAGCAGCAAACUGAUUUUUUAAAAAGAUGACACUGCUGCUCAAUGGAGAGGAUGGUCUUUUUACUAAAUGGUACAGGAUUAAUUGGAUGGAACAAAAAAUCUUGACCCAUCUCAUACUGCAUACGGAAGUUAUAGAUUGUAGAUCUAAAUGUGAAAAGUGAAACUUCUUUUAGUCUGAAAAAUGUGGGAGGUAUAGGAGAAUAUCAUCAUGACCUUAGGAUACACAUACUUUGGACAUAAAAACACUAAAGGAAAAAAAUGGUAAAUAAUUCCGUGUUAUAAUUUUAAGAACUUUUCAUCAGAAGAUAUUAAAAAUGAAGAGGCAACCAGUGGAGUGGACGGUUUUUGUAAUAUAUAGAUAUAAUGAAGAUCUCAUAUGCACAAUAUAUAAAUGACUAUGAAUUUAAAAAAAAACUCAACAGAAGAAAAGGCAGAUGACUUUGGCAAUGCCUAAGAAUAUUAACAUAGCCAAUAAAAGCUAUUUUCAAAAGGAAUGUGAAGUGGAACAACUUUGGAAAACAUUUUUUGACAAUAUUCUCCUAAAGCUGACUUUGGACAGCAAAUUUACUUCCUUGGUAUGUACCCAACAGUAAUGUAUAUAUUUGUUUACCAAAAGACAUGGACUAGAAUGUCUAUAGAAGAACUAUUCACUUUUUCUUUCUCUUCUCCUGACCAUCUUCCCAUUCCCUCUAUACACUUACCACUUACCUAUUUUGCUGAAUCUAAUUCUGUUAUACUUAACAUAAAUAUUUAUGUGCAUCUCUUAAGAACAAGACUAUCCUUUUAAUAACCAUGGUAAAUGAUCAAAUUCAGGAAAUUUAGCAUAAUACAAUAAAAUGAUUGAAUAUGAGAUCCAGUUUUUCAUUUUCCCAAUUGUUCUAUUAAUAUAUAUAUAUUUUUUUUUUCUUCUUUUCAGCUGUGCCUCUGGCAUACGGAAAUUCCCAGGCCGGGGUCAAAUCUGAGUUGCAGCUGUAGCAACUGCAAUUGGAUUCUGGAUUCUGGAGUUCCUAUCAUGGCUCAGCAGUAACGAACCACAUGAGGAUGUGGGUUUGAUCUCUGGCCUCGCUCAGUGGGUUGAUACAGCAUUGCCAUGAAUUGUGUAGGUCGCAGAUGCAGUUCAGAUCCUGCAUGGCUGUGGCAUAGGCCAGCAGCUCCAGCUUCAAUUUGACCCCUAGCCUGGAAACCUCCAUAUGCCGCAGGAGCAGCCCUAAAAAAAAAAAAAAAAGACACAGAAACACUGGAUCCUUAACCCACUGCACUGGCUGGGGAUCAAACCCACACCACCUCAGAGACAGGGCCAGAGCCUUAGCCCACUGCACCACAGCGGGAACCUCUCUAGUAAUGUCUUUUAUUAAGUAUUAUUUUUCCUAAUCCAUGAUCUAAUUCUAGAAUCUGCAUUGCAUUUAGUUCUUUUUGAUCUCCUUUAACCUGGAAGAGCUCAUUAGCCAUUCUUUCUGUUUUAUGACAGUGAUAUGUUUUUGAAGAGUUCAGGAUUAUAGAAUUUCCUUCAAUAUGAAUUUGUCUGUAUUUUUCCUGUAUUUGAAUUUAGGUUAUACAGUUUUGGCAAGAAAACCACCAAACUGAUAUUAUGUCUUCUGUGUCAUAUUAGGAUGCACAUAAUGUAUGUUUAUUCACUUAUCGGUGAUAUUAGCUUUGACUGAUUAAGAUAGUAUCUAUCAUGUUUCUCCACUGCUAUCAAUUUUUCCCCUUGUAAUUAAUAAGGAAUGUGUAGGGAAAUACUUUGAUAUCAUAGAUACUCUGUUCUUUACCAAAUUGUCACUAUGUUUUUGGUAUCUAUUAAGGUUUAUCACCUGAAUUACUAAAAACGUUGCAAAAUGGUGACUUUUUAAAUUCUUUUAUUCUUCACAUAUUUAUUACUUGGCAUUUACUAUAAGGAAGACUUUUGUUUCUCCAUCAUUUGAAAAUUUACAUUAUCAGUAUGGAAUGAUGGGUUCUUUUUUGAUUCAGAAUGUCAAUCCAUUUCUUUCCUAGAUUUAACGAGUGGGAACCCCAUCAGACUGACUUCGGUGCUUUUUCUAUUUCCUUGAGCGCUUGCUUGCUUUUAGUGCAACAAGAUGUUUCAACCCUACCUGGACUUUCUGUAACCCAGUCUUAGAAUCAGCCAUUUCUUCAGGUAGAAGAAAUAUUUCCUUUUAAGUAGAAUGGUAUUUUCAAAUUGGGAUAUUAGAAACACUUGUUGCUACUGGGGUGACAUUGUUUCUCUAAGGUUUUUCAAGAGACAGAGAGGAAAUAUAUACACCAUGAUUGCAUAUUGAUACCUCUAAUUUCAAUCUAACAUCGUAGAAUUCUUCCUUGUCUUCCCUCAUUCUAUGUCUGUUAUCUCUCUUCUCGCAGAGUGAGAGCAUCCAUAUAAUUGUUUAAUCAGACAAAUGCACACAUUAGUUUCAGGAUUACUACACCUUUAUCCACACAAACAACAAAACAGAGUAAAAUUUGAUAUUCUUUUGCAAUUUUUUAUGUCUUUAGACUAAAGUUCUUUAAUUGAGGUAUAGAAUUCAAAAGUCAGGUACUUUUUUUUCCUGCUGUGGGGUUGUUUUAAUCAUUUAAAAUAGAAUUAGGUGCAAUACUUUUGUUGUAUUCAAUUUUAGUUUUUUUCCUGUCUUCAAAGUUAAUUUUACUUUUUGUGUGUAAGAUAUUUAAAAUGUACCAAAAGUCAAAACUACAGAACUGUCUUCUGUCUCAUUCAACCUGUUUCCACCCACACCUACAGAAAGUCGAUUUAAUUAUUUACGGUUAUUCUCUCUUUUCAAAGUAUAGAUUAUAUACAAAAAAAUAUAUACAUACAUAAUCUAAUGUGUGUACAUAUGUUGCAUAAAAUCCAGGGUGUGUGUGUAUACACUCAAAUACACAGAAAAUAACCAUUUCAGUUCAAAAAGAUUUCCCCUACAUUUUUUCAAUUGAAGAAUAAUUGAUUUACAGUAUUAAUUUCAGGUGUACAACAUAAUGAUUCAGUAUUUCCAUAGGGUAUAAUAUUCCCUGUGCUGUACUAUAUGUCCUUGUAAGCUUAUUUAUUUUAUGCAUGGUAAUUAGUACCUCACAAUCCCCUACAUCUAUCUUGACCCUUCCCCCAGAACUCCCCAUAUCCAUUAGUUUUCUAUAUCUGAGUCUAUUUCUGUUUAGUUAUUUUUUUGUGUGUGUCUUUUUAGGGCCACAUCCACAGCAUAUGGAGGUUCCCAGGCUAGGGAUCAUUACUGGGGCUACAGCUGCCAGCCUACACCACAGCCCAGCAACGCUGGAUCUUUAACCCACUGAGCAAGGCCAGGGAUCAAACCCACAUCUUCAUGGAUACUACUCAGGUUCCAUUAACCACUAAACCACAAUAGGAACUCCUGUUUCUGUUUUGUUACAUACAUUCACUGGUUUUAUUUUUCAGAUUCCACAUAUUAGUGAUAGCAUAUAGUAUUUGUCUUUCCCUGUCUGCUUUAGUUCACUAAAUGUUAUGCCCUCCAGGUCUAUCCAUGUUUUUGCAAAUGGCAAAAUUUCAUUCAUUCCUAUGCCUGAGUAAUAGUACUCUGUGUGUGUGUGUAUCACAUCUUCUUUAUCCAUUUAUCUGUCGAUGGACACUUAGGUUACGUCCGUAUCUUGGCUACUGUACUUUGAACAUUGGGGUGCAUGUAUCUUUUCUAAUUAGUGUUUUUGUUUUCUUUAAAUAUAUACCAAGAGUGGAAUUCCUGGAUCACGGCAGUUCUCUGAGGAACCUGCAUAUGUUUUACACAAUGGCUGCACCAAUUUACAUUCCUACCAGUGAUGUAUAGGUGUUCCCUUUUCUCCACAUCCUCUCCAACAUUGUUUGCUUUUUGUUUUUUUGGGGUUUUUUUUGUUUUGUUUUUUUGCUAUUUUAGGGCCGAACUCAUGGCAUAUUGAGGUUCCCAGGCUAGAGGUUUAAUCAGAGCUAUAGCCGCUGUACUAUGCCACUGCUCACACCAGUGCUGCGGGUUCUAUCCCCCACCAAUCGAGGUGAGGGAUAGAACCCGCAUCCUCAUGGAUCCUAGUCGGGUUUUUUAACCACUGAGCCACAAAGGGAAGUCCCUCACCAGCACUUGUUAUUUGUGUUCUUUUUGAUGAUACCCAUUUUAAGAGGUGUGAGGUGAUAUCUCAUGGUUUUGAUUUGCAUUUCCCUGAUGAUUAGCAAGCCGAGCAUCUUCUCAUGUGCCUGUUGGCCAUAUGUAUGUCUU
RNAcentral lists this long non-coding RNA (5278 nucleotides) under Sus scrofa (pig). RNAcentral describes it as "lncRNA (ENSSSCG00000059112.1)". The record is from RNAcentral. Lineage: Eukaryota; Metazoa; Chordata; Mammalia; Artiodactyla; Suidae.